UAUAAUCAAGCCUAUACCCUUGUCGAGAUAGAGAAAAAAGGUAUCAGUGGCGAAGAAGAUAAUUACUCUUUGAUUUCUCUACGCCAAAAAAAACAGAGAUACAAUAGUAGAAAAUGAUUCGGUUUAUGAGGGGAGAGCCGUUGGUGUCGAAGCUGGCGGUGCUGGCCAGAUUCGCGGUGCUUCCGGGAGCCAUGAUCGCCGCCCUUAUCUAUUCUCCUCCUGAUUACUCUUCCAAAAAGCGGCAGCAGCCUUCUUCAUCUCUUUCCAAAGAGAUUCUCGAUCCUCCAAUGGUUCGUUUCGUAAUUCUACCUUUGUCUUUCAUUUUAUAUAAUUAAUUUGAUUAGUGCUUUGCGUGUUAUUUUACUGGCAAAUUAUGGUGUUGCGCUACAAGUUUUCUAGAUCUAAGGCUAGAUUGUUGUAUUUGCAUCUAUAUUCGUAGUUUUUGAAUUUUGAUUGAAGUGGUUAUGGACAUGUAAAAUUAUGUGCUGAGCUUGUUUGUUGAAGCUUACUAUAGCUGCUAAAUUAUUCAUUAUGAUGACUCUAUUACCUAACAUCAAGUUUUGAAAGUGAUUUAGUUUUUUUUUGGGUGACCUGUGUUGAAGGAGUAUAUGUGAAAAUAGAGAUAAAUAAGCAGCAUACCUAGGUACAUAGUUAAGCUCUCUGCCUAGGUGACCAGAAAGUGAAUAUAUGCUACAUUAUAGUGUAAGUUAUAGGGAGAUGAAACUGGGGAAUUACAUUCCUAAGUACACCCAUUAGCUAUAGUUUUCCUUUGGAAUUCAAAGAAUUUAACUAAAUGUCUCAUCUAUAAUUCUAUAUGCUCCCACUAACUAAGUUGAAGAAAUUCUUAGAUUAUUGUUUUAUUGUACUCCCUUUGUUUGGAAAUGAGUUCCUACUUCUUUUUGUAUAUUCCCCCCCUCCCCGUCCCCGUCCCCGAAUUCUAAGGUUUGUAUAGGACACAAUUGACAUAUAUUUUUAUUUCUAAUCCUAAAAUUUAAAAUUGAAAAAAAAGAUCUCCUAAAAAUUAUACCUAAGCAUAAUUUGUCUAUACAAACCUUAAUAUUCAAAAAAAGAAGUUAACAGCACAAGUAUGAUUCUAGCUUUCAAGAUAGAGGGAGUAGUAAAAUUGACAUUGUAUACUUAUCAAUAAAUAAAUAAACCAAAAUUGUCAUUUUCAAAAUCCAAAUUGAGCCGGUUCUCUGAGUAAUUAACUCUUAAAAAGUUCCAGCUCUGUCCCAAAAUUCAGAGUGGAUCCUUCCUUUCGGAGUUUCCAAUAAUCGCAGUCCUGUAUGAAAAAAUAAUGGCUAAUGCAUAUAUUUCUUAAAUAAACCUGUUGGCUUUAUUAGACUAGUUUUGGAUAUACACACUUUUCCACCAAGGGUGAAUGCACUAAUUAAUGCCACCUCAAUAAGUUGAAUGUUUUCUAAUCAAACUCAUACUAUGGUAUACGAUGGAGUAGUGCAUAAUAUCUUAACGUCAUUUGACACUGUGCUCAGUAGGGAAGAGUACAAGGCCGUUCCGUUUCAGUAAUAGAUUCAACUGUUAUGAUAUAACUUAGCAGUGGUCAGAUGAUUUUGGUUGGGUAGGAUAGGUUUUAUUAGCACUUGCUAAAUUUGCAAGGAAGAAUGAAGUUGGACCAGGCUAGAAUUGCAUUCAUUUAGAUUUGAAACAACACUACGAGAAGUCAAUGAAAGGGAGGUUUUUUUCUUAUGCUCUAAUUCCAUACAAGCCUUGCAUUUCUUUUGUACCGUAGUGCUCAUCAGAUUUAGUCCACCAGGGUCUCUUUCCAUUCAUUCCCCUUAGACUGGGAAAAAAAAGUGUGGUUAGGUUUCAAUUAUUGAAUCAGUUUAGUUUGUCCUUCACAUUUUGUCAGGGGUUCACUGGUUGGUUGUAGGCAGGUUGUACGGGGUUUGAGGAUUGAGUUUUCCUGUCCCUAGGUCUUUACAUCAAAACAUAUGAUUUGAGUUCUUCCUUUACUUUCCUGUUUAAAGACUUGCUAACAGUUGAAGUAACUUUAGCAACCUACUACCAGAUCUUAGCUUGUCUACAAACUAGUUCAUCUUGAAUAAUUCACCUUACCUACCCGAUUGGUCAUAUAUUAUCUACCAAAAUCCUCAAUUAGUUUGAGAUUGAAGAUAAAGUAAUUCAAAUGUUUGGAUACUUCGCUUUAAGAUUUCUAAUUUUUUGUUUUUGUCUGCGUAAAUAAAUAUACUUGGAUGUAUAUAUAGGAGUAGAAUUGGGAUAAUGGUUGCGUUGUUUUGAAUUUGUAGAUGAAAGUGUUUCUCUGCUGUACAGAUGAAAUCAUGAAAAUCAUUUUAUAAUUGGUAGUAUUUUGUUCUGUCCAGUGAUUUCUUUUGGCUUUUUGUUCCCGUCUUAUCUUGCUUAUUGAGUACAAGGUAUUUGUACUUUUUUAUAUAGUAUUUAGAUGUGGACAUAUGAGCUGAUAGAUUUGUUGUCUUCCUUCUAGCAUAAGUUAAGAAUUACAUGAUGAAUGACUAAUGGGUAGUAAUAUUUUUUACCGUGUUCGUACAUAUGGUUCUUUCAGCUCUCUAGGGAUUAGUUGGAUGAUGGAUUCGAUAUGUAAUAAUGCUCAUGGCCACUAUUUUGCUGUAUUCCAGUAGAAGGUGUAUGAGAAUUUGAAAGUUUCAUUCUCCUUUGAAGCAACUGUGAGGUUCCCUUUUCAGUUAUGAAUGUAGUUUACCAACAGUUAUGCUACAGUUUGACAAAUGCAACUUAUGUCUUUACUUUCGCGGCAAAAUGUUUUGAUCUUUUUCUAUUUCUUUAUAUGUGGAACACUUUGGUUUGAUGGCCUUGUUAAAUCAUUUGCAUAGCCUUCUGUGCAUCUGAGUUAUUGAAAAUCAGUCAUCAUGACUUCACCCCAUGACCCAUGGAUGGCCAUAUUUUGUGUUAUUGCGAGUUUGUGGUUUGGUUUCAAUCAUGUUGAUAGACAAGUUCAUACUUUUUUGGAGAUUUCAGGAAUUUUGUUUUUCUUUUCUGGGACUAAAGCAUUGCGGAAGGAGAGACAUUUAGCCAUCUAGGAACAGGAACAUGGGGUUUGUCCACAGUUUGCCAUGAAGGCCCAAACACUAAAGAAGUUAGGAAUUACUAGGAACUGGAGGAAGAAAUAACGCUCCCCAAAUCAACUCCAUAAAGUUGGGGAAGGACAAGAAUUCGAACUUUAUUAUGAACUCUUUUGUCCCCUCCAAAUUCCUAAAGAAGUUAAAAUUAUGAGGAUCUGAAAAAACAAAUAAAGCUGGGGGGAGGCCAAGAAUCAAACCUGUACCAUAAACUCAUUCCAUUUCAACUCGUGAUGAUUGCUUAAUUUAGCCUGUGCCUUUAGUGUAUACAUUGAAGUAUACGUAGCUUUAGAGCUUAAAAAUUGCAAGAGAUUGCAGCCAAAAGUGUUUUGAGGGACCUAAUUGUAAAACAUAAUAAGGUACAAGUUCAUUUACACUAUGAUUUAAAAAUUAAAAGAAC
This 3474-nucleotide long non-coding RNA is filed under the name Panax ginseng (ginseng). RNAcentral's name for it is "long non-coding RNA (PGIN_LNC017467)". The record is from RNAcentral. Lineage: Eukaryota; Viridiplantae; Streptophyta; Magnoliopsida; Apiales; Araliaceae.